UACGUAGGGGGCUAGCGUUAUCCGGAAUUACUGGGCGUAAAGGGUGCGUAGGCGGUCUUUCAAGCCAGAAGUGAAAGGCUACGGCUCAACCGUAGUAAGCUUUUGGAACUGUAAGACUUGAGUGCAGGAGAGGAGAGUGGAAUUCCUAGUGUAGCGGUGAAAUGCGUAGAUAUUAGGAGGAACACCGGUGGCGAAGGCGGCUAUCUGGACAGUAACUGACGCUGAGGCGCGAAAGCGUGGGGAGCAAACAGGAUUAGAUACCCCCGUAGUCCCUGAGCGGG
Molecule: ribosomal RNA, 281 nt
Filed under: uncultured prokaryote
Description: partial 16S ribosomal RNA
Rfam family: Bacterial small subunit ribosomal RNA
Source: RNAcentral